GGAACACACUCGUAGUCCUGGCAGGGUUUAUAAUGUCAGAAAAACAGAGAUUGACAGUUCACAUCAUCAAAGCACACAGGAAAAGGAUUACAUCUGGUUCUUUACACCCUCAAGGCAUGACGAGCAGUAACAUGGGUCAUCCUCUGAUAAUGCCAGGCUUACUACUUCUAAUGCUGAUACCUGCCAUCACAGCUGAUAGCUCCGGUUCUGUCGUCACCAGCUGUGAGGCAUGCCACCCUCAUGCUACCUGUCUUGCUCUCUACUCAACAAUGAGGUUGAGUCUUCCUCAUUCAAGUUAGUCACUUGCAACUGUAAACCAGGCUUUGUCGGCAACGGCAUCACCUGCUACGACCUCAAGCUCUGCGCUGGCGGCUCCUGCUGUCAUCAAGGUUACAGCUGGUCAACGGAGUUAGGCUGUGUGGACGUUGACGAGUGUUCCCUCCCAGACCAACCCUGCAGCCCUCCUCAGGUCUGUGAGAACACCCCCGGAUCCUUCAACUGCUUGGUGCCUCCUGAAGACGACCUCCACUCCAGUCCUGGUGACUCCCGUUCAGUGCAGUUUCAGUGCGGGGGGAGACGGUGUCCAGUGGGAGAGGACUGUAUCAGUGUUGGUGGAACGUCCCUCUGUGCAGACCCUGCCUGCACUACACUGUACUGAAUGAUGCCUGGCGUUCCACCACCAACAACGGCAACGUUAAUGGCGAGCAUUGCGACCAGAGCAUCAACUGGCAGGGCUGGUAUCGCCUGUUCCUUGGGGACACCAGUGUUCAGAUGCCAGAGAGGUGUGUGGAAAGGUACAUGUGUGGAACCGCUGCCCCCAUGU
This is a long non-coding RNA of Oncorhynchus keta (chum salmon), 823 nucleotides long. RefSeq lists it as uncharacterized. The transcript has 3 exons. Lineage: Eukaryota; Metazoa; Chordata; Actinopteri; Salmoniformes; Salmonidae. The record is from RefSeq and is a predicted model, not a curated record.